AGGCAACGGGCUUGGCGGAGGCUUGUCCCGCUCCUCCUUAGCCCGUUCCCUGAGC
This is a microRNA precursor of Bison bison bison, 55 nucleotides long. The record is from Ensembl. NCBI's taxonomy places the organism in Eukaryota, Metazoa, Chordata, Mammalia, Artiodactyla, Bovidae.